Molecule: ribosomal RNA, 694 nt
Filed under: uncultured bacterium
Lineage: Bacteria
Description: bacterial SSU rRNA
Rfam family: Bacterial small subunit ribosomal RNA
Source: RNAcentral
CAUGCAAGUCGAACGGUAACAGCACUUCGGUGGCUGACGAGUGGCGAACGGGUGAGUAAUACAUCGGAACGUGCCUAGUAGUGGGGGAUAACUACUCGAAAGAGUAGCUAAUACCGCAUGAGAUCUAAGGAUGAAAGCAGGGGACCUUCGGGCCUUGCGCUACCAGAGCGGCUGAUGGCAGAUUAGGUAGUUGGUGGGAUAAAAGCUUACCAAGCCGACGAUCUGUAGCUGGUCUGAGAGGACGACCAGCCACACUGGGACUGAGACACGGCCCAGACUCCUACGGGAGGCAGCAGUGGGGAAUUUUGGACAAUGGGCGCAAGCCUGAUCCAGCAAUGCCGCGUGCAGGAUGAAGGCCUUCGGGUUGUAAACUGCUUUUGUACGGAACGAAAAGCCCUCUUCUAAUACAGGAGGGUCAUGACGGUACCGUAAGAAUAAGCACCGGCUAACUACGUGCCAGCAGCCGCGGUAAUACGUAGGGUGCAAGCGUUAAUCGGAAUUACUGGGCGUAAAGCGUGCGCAGGCGGUUUUGUAAGACAGAGGUGAAAUCCCCGGGCUCAACCUGGGAACUGCCUUUGUGACUGCAAGGCUAGAGUACGGCAGAGGGGGAUGGAAUUCCGCGUGUAGCAGUGAAAUGCGUAGAUAUGCGGAGGAACACCGAUGGCGAAGGCAAUCCCCUGGGCCUGUACUGACG